Olea europaea var. sylvestris is the source of this 292-nucleotide long non-coding RNA. RefSeq lists it as uncharacterized. The record is from RefSeq and is a predicted model, not a curated record. NCBI's taxonomy places the organism in Eukaryota, Viridiplantae, Streptophyta, Magnoliopsida, Lamiales, Oleaceae. The transcript is spliced from 2 exons.
CAUUUCACAUCUUCGAAAUAUCCUACACACCGGAAAUCUGAUUCAAUUCGGACCAAAAAAUGGAAACCUAAAAAUAGAAUUUCUCUCAUUAACCCUCUGAAGUUCAAAAAAUUUACGGUUUCAACUCCAUAUUCUCUCUAUCCGAAUACUAUAUAUAUCAAUCUGUAUAAUUUCAGUUUGUAUUUCAAGAUCCAUUUCAAAUUUGGAGCAUUACCAGUUUCACAUAAGGUACUCGCUUGGAAAUUCAGGAUUCGUUUGGAUAUAACUCUAUAUGGAUAAUUUGGGAUUUGAG